GGAUUAGUGGCGAACGGGUGAGUAACACGUGGGCAAUCUGCCCUGCACUCUGGGACAAGCCCUGGAAACGGGGUCUAAUACCGGAUAAUACUGUUCCCCUCAUGGGGGGUGGUUGAAAGCUCCGGCGGUGCAGGAUGAGCCCGCGGCCUAUCAGCUUGUUGGUGGGGUAAUGGCCUACCAAGGCGACGACGGGUAGCCGGCCUGAGAGGGCGACCGGCCACACUGGGACUGAGACACGGCCCAGACUCCUACGGGAGGCAGCAGUGGGGAAUAUUGCACAAUGGGCGGAAGCCUGAUGCAGCGACGCCGCGUGAGGGAUGACGGCCUUCGGGUUGUAAACCUCUUUCAGCAGGGAAGAAGCGCAAGUGACGGUACCUGCAGAAGAAGCGCCGGCUAACUACGUGCCAGCAGCCGCGGUAAUACGUAGGGCGCAAGCGUUGUCCGGAAUUAUUGGGCGUAAAGAGCUCGUAGGCGGUCUGUCACGUCGGGUGUGAAAGCCCGGGGCUUAACCCCGGGUCUGCAUUCGAUACGGGCAGACUAGAGUGUGGUAGGGGAGAUCGGAAUUCCUGGUGUAGCGGUGAAAUGCGCAGAUAUCAGGAGGAACACCGGUGGCGAAGGCGGAUCUCUGGGCCAUUACUGACGCUGAGGAGCGAAAGCGUGGGGAGCGAACAGGAUUAGAUACCCUGGUAGUCCACGCCGUAAACGUUGGGAACUAGGUGUUGGCGACAUUCCACGUCGUCGGUGCCGCAGC
This 751-nucleotide ribosomal RNA is filed under the name Streptomyces sp. Its description in RNAcentral is "bacterial SSU rRNA". It matches the Rfam family "Bacterial small subunit ribosomal RNA", at positions 89 to 852 of the family's 1533-position model. The record is from RNAcentral. Lineage: Bacteria; Bacillati; Actinomycetota; Actinomycetes; Kitasatosporales; Streptomycetaceae.